AUACUUACCUGGCAGAGGAGAUACCAUGGUCAGGAAGGGGGUUUUCUCAGGCAAGGCUAAUCCAUUGCGCUCCACAUUUGGGAAACUCAACUGCAUAACUUGUGGUAGUUGGGAACUGCGUUCACACUCUCCCCUU
This 136-nucleotide small nuclear RNA is filed under the name Myotis davidii. RNAcentral describes it as "U1 spliceosomal RNA". It matches the Rfam family "U1 spliceosomal RNA". Rfam says of the family: U1 is a small nuclear RNA (snRNA) component of the spliceosome (involved in pre-mRNA splicing). Its 5' end forms complementary base pairs with the 5' splice junction, thus defining the 5' donor site of an intron. Lineage: Eukaryota; Metazoa; Chordata; Mammalia; Chiroptera; Vespertilionidae. The record is from Rfam by way of RNAcentral.